UCGGGACGUGGACAAGGGGGUGUUUCUGGCAUAAAGCAGUUUUGCCUCUCGCUCAGAAUGAGAUCUCUGGCCCCGACGCACUCACAGCAUUUCGUAAAGGUGGUGCCGACCCCUCACACACUGCUGGCCUUGGCCCGCCUGGGAGGAGGGGCGUACCUCAAUGCUGGGGGGAGUACCUGCAUGCAGGGGGAGUAUCUGGGUGCAGGGAGUACCUCAGUGCAAGAAGGUAUCGGAAUGCAGAAGGAAUAUCUGAAUGCAGAGGAGUAUCUGCAUGGAGUACCUGCACGCAGGGGGAGUAUCUGAAUGC
Long non-coding RNA from Phyllostomus discolor (pale spear-nosed bat), 307 nucleotides. RefSeq lists it as uncharacterized. NCBI's taxonomy places the organism in Eukaryota, Metazoa, Chordata, Mammalia, Chiroptera, Phyllostomidae. The record is from RefSeq and is a predicted model, not a curated record. The transcript has 2 exons.